CGAACGGGAAAUCACCGGCUCGCGCGAACUCAGCCAAUGGGGAUCGAUGGGGCGCGCGCGAACCAGGAUUUAUCUUUAAUCUUGGAGGAUCCUGGCCUAAUUACCAGUUGGAAGAAAAAAGAAUCAUAGCUGACAGUUAAAAUCCUAUUCAGGAAGGAACCAAAAUAUACUGCAGAGGCUUCAGCACUGCAUUGAGUUUCACCAUACUUCAAAGGCUUGUGCAAGGAUUAGGGUGAUUUACAUAGUACUGUACUCCUGAACUAUUCUAGAAAUAUAGUGACUGUGUCUCUAUGGAAUGUUUAGAUUCUUUAAUAUGUCCAUCUAGAUUGUUGACUGCUCUGUAUCUUCAACUGUAAAUAAAAUGUUCUCUUUUCCUCACCCCAUUCCACCCUUCUGUCAUAGUUUAAAUACUUUUGAGCAUUACAUGCCUGUCCUUCACUAAAUAGUCAGGUCCCAGUUUUACAGUCUAUUUUAACUUCAAUAGGAGCAGAGUUAGGCCA
This is a long non-coding RNA of Dermochelys coriacea (leatherback sea turtle), 500 nucleotides long. RefSeq lists it as uncharacterized. Lineage: Eukaryota; Metazoa; Chordata; Testudines; Dermochelyidae. The transcript is spliced from 3 exons. The record is from RefSeq and is a predicted model, not a curated record.